CAGUAGCCACGGGAACACGGAGGGUGCAAGCGUUAAUCGGAAUUACUGGGCGUAAAGCGCACGCAGGCGGUCUGUCAAGUCAGAUGUGAAAUCCCCGGGCUUAACCUGGGAACUGCAUUUGAAACUGGCAGGCUAGAGUCUUGUAGAGGGGGGUAGAAUUCCAGGUGUAGCGGUGAAAUGCGUAGAGAUCUGGAGGAAUACCGGUGGCGAAGGCGGCCCCCUGGACAAAGACUGACGCUCAGGUGCGAAAGCGUGGGGAGCAAACAGGAUUAGAUACCCCGGUAGUCCCUGUCUCUUAUAC
RNAcentral lists this ribosomal RNA (301 nucleotides) under uncultured bacterium. RNAcentral describes it as "partial 16S ribosomal RNA". It matches the Rfam family "Bacterial small subunit ribosomal RNA", at positions 509 to 807 of the family's 1533-position model. The record is from RNAcentral.